RNAcentral lists this ribosomal RNA (447 nucleotides) under uncultured bacterium. RNAcentral describes it as "bacterial SSU rRNA". It matches the Rfam family "Bacterial small subunit ribosomal RNA", at positions 355 to 825 of the family's 1533-position model. The record is from RNAcentral.
UCGGGAAUUUUGGGCAAUGGGGGAAACCCUGACCCAGCAACGCCGCGUGAAGGAUGAAGUAUUUCGGUAUGUAAACUUCGAAAGAAUAGGAAGAAUAAAUGACGGUACUAUUUAUAAGGUCCGGCUAACUACGUGCCAGCAGCCGCGGUAAGACGAGGGAUCCUAGCGUUGUUCGGAAUUAUUGGGCGUAAAGCGGGUGUAGGCGGACUUAUAAGUCAGGUGUGAAAUCCCAGGGCUCAACCCUGGAAGUGCACUUGAUACUGCAAGUCUUGAGUGUGGUAGAGGCUAUUAGAAUUCCUGGUGUAGUGGUGAAAUACGUAGAUAUUAGGAAGAACACCGGUGGCGAAGGCGGCUCACUGGAUCGGUACUGACGCUGAGGUGCGAAAGCGUGGGGAGCAAACAGGAUUAGAUACCCCCGUAGUCCCUGAGCGGGCUGGCAAGGCGCAU